RNAcentral lists this transfer RNA (79 nucleotides) under Conchiformibius kuhniae. RNAcentral's name for it is "tRNA-Phe". The stretch from base 7 to 70 matches the Rfam family "tRNA", at positions 5 to 66 of the family's 71-position model. Rfam says of the family: Transfer RNA (tRNA) molecules are approximately 80 nucleotides in length. Their secondary structure includes four short double-helical elements and three loops (D, anti-codon, and T loops). Lineage: Bacteria; Pseudomonadati; Pseudomonadota; Betaproteobacteria; Neisseriales; Neisseriaceae. The record is from RNAcentral.
GGUACCAGAUAGCUCAGUCGGUAGAGCAACGGACUGAAAAUCCGUGUGUCGGCAGUUCGAUCCUGCUUCUCUACCACCA